This 253-nucleotide ribosomal RNA is filed under the name uncultured bacterium. Its description in RNAcentral is "partial 16S ribosomal RNA". It matches the Rfam family "Bacterial small subunit ribosomal RNA", at positions 524 to 776 of the family's 1533-position model. The record is from RNAcentral.
UACGGGGGGGGCAAGCGUUGCUCGGAAUCACUGGGCGUAAAGGGCGCGUAGGCGGGGAGGUAAGUCGGGUGUGAAAUCCCUCGGCCCAACCGAGGAACUGCGCCCGAGACUGCUUCUCUUGAGUCCCGGAGAGGAAGAUGGAAUUCCCGGUGUAGCGGUGGAAUGCGUAGAGAUCGGGAAGAACAUCAGUGGCGAAGGCGGCCUGCUGGGCUGUUGCUGACGCUGAGGCGCGACAGCGUGGGGAGCAAACAGG